This 596-nucleotide long non-coding RNA is filed under the name Olea europaea (common olive). RNAcentral describes it as "long non-coding RNA (OEUR_LNC010155)". The record is from RNAcentral. Lineage: Eukaryota; Viridiplantae; Streptophyta; Magnoliopsida; Lamiales; Oleaceae.
ACAAAUCGACUUUUCCUUGAAGAUCCAGGUUUUUUUUUCUCAAUUCUUACUCUGGUACCACUGAAAAGACCCAAGCACUGGAUAUUAAUCACAAUAUACGUUCAAUCAAUAACAAACAGAAAGUAAAAGUUUUAGAAAUUAAAAGAUUGAAUUCAUCAGAUUUUUCGAUCAUAGCCCAGAGGUUCAGUGACCUUUUAACACCUAGUCCCAUGCUAAGUAUCCACUUAAGAAUAGAGAUAGCUCGGUUGCACUAAAAAUGCCUUAAAAUUGACAACGAAGGUUACAAAUGUUCUGCCAACACAGGAAUAUAGAAUAAGAGACUUAUCUCUUCAUAAGAACCUAACAGAUCUGACUCGAAUCACACAAGAAUUAACAGAUUUCCUUUACAGACUCAAAACAUAAGAACCCUCUCGUUCUUACAGAUUUUCGCUCAAGAAAAUCGAAGUAUUCUAAGGCUAAAAUAUCAAAAUCAUCACUUUGAAUGAGAAGUUCAAACUGUAAUGAAAGAUUAGAAAACCCUAACCAUAGAGAUGAAAGGAAGUCUCUCAAACAUCUCUCAGAAAGUGAAAAGCCAAAGGAAGAAUGAUAGUCUCUCA